CAGUAGCCGCGGGAAUACGAAGGGGGCUAGCGUUGCUCGGAAUGACUGGGCGUAAAGAGCUCGUAGGCGGUUUGUCGCGUCUGCUGUGAAAACUGGAGGCUCAACCUCCAGCCUGCAGUGGGUACGGGCAAACUAGAGUGCGGUAGGGGAGAUUGGAAUUCCUGGUGUAGCGGUGGAAUGCGCAGAUAUCAGGAGGAACACCGAUGGCGAAGGCAGAUCUCUGGGCCGUAACUGACGCUGAGGAGCGAAAGCAUGGGGAGCGAACAGGAUUAGAUACCCCCGUAGUCCCUGUCUCUUAUAC
RNAcentral lists this ribosomal RNA (301 nucleotides) under uncultured bacterium. RNAcentral's name for it is "partial 16S ribosomal RNA". It matches the Rfam family "Bacterial small subunit ribosomal RNA", at positions 509 to 807 of the family's 1533-position model. The record is from RNAcentral.